CGGGCUGUAGUUUAGCUUGGUAGAACGCUACCUUGGGGUGGUAGAGGUCGUGGGUUCAAAUCCCGCCAGCCCGA
RNAcentral lists this transfer RNA (74 nucleotides) under Candidatus Melainabacteria bacterium RIFCSPLOWO2_02_FULL_35_15. RNAcentral describes it as "tRNA-Pro". It matches the Rfam family "tRNA". From Rfam's summary of the family: Transfer RNA (tRNA) molecules are approximately 80 nucleotides in length. Their secondary structure includes four short double-helical elements and three loops (D, anti-codon, and T loops). Lineage: Bacteria; Bacillati; Candidatus Melainabacteria. The record is from RNAcentral. RNAcentral also lists the same sequence under 1 other name.